GACGAGCGCUGGCGGCGUGCUUAACACAUGCAAGUCGAACGGAAAGGCCCUGCUUGCAGGGUACUCGAGUGGCGAACGGGUGAGUAACACGUGGGUGAUCUGCCCUGCACUUCGGGAUAAGCUUGGGAAACUGGGUCUAAUACCGGAUAGGAACCAUCUUUAGUGUGGUGGUUGGAAAGUUUUUUCGGUGUAGGAUGAGCUCGCGGCCUAUCAGCUUGUUGGUGGGGUAAUGGCCUACCAAGGCGGCGACGGGUAGCCGGCCUGAGAGGGUGUACGGCCACAUUGGGACUGAGAUACGGCCCAGACUCCUACGGGAGGCAGCAGUGGGGAAUAUUGCACAAUGGGCGCAAGCCUGAUGCAGCGACGCCGCGUGGGGGAUGAAGGCCUUCGGGUUGUAAACUCCUUUCGCUAGGGACGAAGCUUUGUUGUGACGGUACCUAGAUAAGAAGCACCGGCUAACUACGUG
Molecule: ribosomal RNA, 466 nt
Filed under: uncultured bacterium
Lineage: Bacteria
Description: partial 16S ribosomal RNA
Rfam family: Bacterial small subunit ribosomal RNA
Source: RNAcentral